This 622-nucleotide small RNA is filed under the name Pongo abelii (Sumatran orangutan). Its description in RNAcentral is "retained intron". Lineage: Eukaryota; Metazoa; Chordata; Mammalia; Primates; Hominidae. The record is from RNAcentral.
GGAAGCUGUCUCGUGCAGACUUGACCGAGUACUUCAGCACACAUUACAAGGCCCCUCGAAUGGUGCUGGCAGCAGCUGGAGGAGUGGAGCACCAGCAACUGUUAGACCUCGCCCAGAAGCACCUCGGUGGCAUCCCGUGGACGUACGCAGAGGACGCUGUGCCCACUCUUACUCCGUGCCGCUUCACUGGCAGUGAGAUCCGCCACCGUGACGAUGCUCUACCUUUUGCCCACGUGGCCAUUGCAGUAGAGGGUCCUGGCUGGGCCAGCCCGGACAAUGUGGCCUUGCAAGUGGCCAAUGCCAUCAUCGGCCACUAUGACUGCACUUAUGGUGGUGGCGUGCACCUGUCCAGCCCACUGGCUUCAGGUGCCGUGGCCAACAAGCUAUGCCAGAGUUUCCAGACCUUCAGCAUCUGCUAUGCAGAGACGGGCUUGCUGGGUGCACACUUUGUCUGUGACCGAAUGAAAAUCGAUGACAUGAUGUUCGUCCUGCAAGGGCAGUGGAUGCGCCUGUGUACCAGUGCCACGGAGAGUGAGGUGGCCCGGGGCAAAAACAUCCUCAGAAAUGCCCUGGUAUCUCAUCUAGAUGGCACUACUCCUGUGUGUGAGGACAUCGGACGCAG